This 265-nucleotide ribosomal RNA is filed under the name uncultured Clostridia bacterium. RNAcentral's name for it is "partial 16S ribosomal RNA". It matches the Rfam family "Bacterial small subunit ribosomal RNA", at positions 75 to 339 of the family's 1533-position model. Lineage: Bacteria; Bacillati; Bacillota; Clostridia. The record is from RNAcentral.
CUUGCUAUGAGCUGUUUUAGCGGCGGACGGGUGAGUAACGCGUGAGCAACCUUUCCCAGACAGGGGGAUAACGCAGCGAAAGUUGCACUAAUACCGCAUAAGACCACAGAGCCACAUGGCAUAGGGGUCAAAGGAGCAAUCCGGUCUGAGGUGAGCUCGCGUCCCAUUAGGUAGUUGGUGAGGUAACGGCCCACCAAGCCUGCGAUGGGUAGCCGACCUGAGAGGGUGAUCGGCCACAUUGGGACUGAGACACGGCCCAAACUCC